GCAUCUAGCCUGGGGCUGCCUGAGUGCUCUGUGGCACCACUGAGGGAGGACAGUGUAUGUUUGCAGGUCUUACUUGGCCUGAGUGGCAGUUCUGAGUCAGGGGUCAGGCAUGGCCAAAGUCUAAAUUCAAGGGUGAAUUCUUAUCGUUCUUGCCCUUAAGAUAUUUCCAUGCCAAUUGCCAAGUAUCCUGUUGCACUGCAAUGCUCUCAACUAAGGAAGGAAGAAGAUCAUAAGUUCAAGGCCAACCUAAGACUUGUGUGAAAUCAAGGAGGAAGUGAAGUUGGAUGAAGAUCCCAUCUGAGAAGAGGAUCAGUGUGGUGCCCAGGAUUGAGGAGCUCUGUGUCAUCAAAACUGGUGUUAGCAUCCUGGACAGCAGCAAAGGACCGUCCUAACUCUAACAGAGGAGAACCCCAGUCUGCUCAAAUAUGCCCGGCUUCUAGAGGCACAUAGGUAUCCACAAAAACCCAGCGAAGGCAUAUGGAGGACAGGACAUCCUACAAGUUCCAAGUCAAUGACGCUCAAGAUCUUCAUUACUGAUCUGGUGUACUGUGUGCUGUAUGCACAUCUUCACACAGACCUUAAAUCAUUUCUAAAUUAUUUGAAUCAACUAACACAAGAGAAAGAGUUGUUACUAUAUUAUUUAAAGGGUGAUGACAUGGAGAUUCUAUACGUGUUCAAUAUAGAUAUAAUUUUUGAAAGGUUUCAGUCUGUGUUUGCUCAUAUGCACAAAUGCAGAACACUGAGAUACAGAGUCAAUACCACACGUGGAAGGGAUUCAUGGAAGGUGAUGAAUGGGUGGGAAAUUUCUGAGCAAUGUGGUCUAGGAUUUUUCAUCCCUUAGAGGGUGCUGUGUGGAGGAAGUAACACAAUAUCCCUAUUUCUACCCAAAAAGGAGGAUCAUUUGGCACUCUGGUCACUUUUGGACAUCUCUGGGAUGACCUCCUGUGACCAUAUGAUUUGUGCAUAGUUGCAGAUUCCAAACAGGGCAAACUUGCUCAGCCUUCCUUGGGUGGUCUUAGAGAGCUGGAGGUCAAUAUGAGGAACUGAAGGGGAGCCCACUUGCAGGGGUUAUGGGAAGAACUUUGCCCUUUGGGAAGAAAACAAACAGAAUUUAACAGCAAGAGCAGAGACUUUAUUCCAUCUCCACCACAACCAGAUCACUGAACACCUACUGCAUGC
RNAcentral lists this long non-coding RNA (1179 nucleotides) under Cricetulus griseus (Chinese hamster). Its description in RNAcentral is "lncRNA (ENSCGRG00015033911.1)". Lineage: Eukaryota; Metazoa; Chordata; Mammalia; Rodentia; Cricetidae. The record is from RNAcentral.